Molecule: ribosomal RNA, 266 nt
Filed under: uncultured archaeon
Lineage: Archaea
Description: partial 16S ribosomal RNA
Rfam family: Archaeal small subunit ribosomal RNA
Source: RNAcentral
AGACGUCUACAUUAGAUACCCGGGUAGUCCCAGCCCUAAACGAUGCGCGUUAGGUGUAUCGGUGACCACGAGUCACCGAGGUGCCGAAGGGAAACCGUGAAACGUGCCGCCUGGGAAGUACGGUCGCAAGGCUGAAACUUAAAGGAAUUGGCGGGGGAGCACAACAACGGGUGGAGCUUGCGGUUUAAUUGGAUUCAACGCCGGAAAUCUUACCGGGACCGACAGCAACAUGAAGGCCAGGCUGAAGACUUUGCCGGAUUUAGCUG